GACGAACGCUGGCGGCGUGCUUAACACAUGCAAGUCGAACGGAAAGGCCCUGCUUUUGUGGGGUGCUCGAGUGGCGAACGGGUGAGUAACACGUGAGUAACCUGCCCUUGACUUUGGGAUAACUUCAGGAAACUGGGGCUAAUACCGGAUAGGAGCUCCUGCUGCAUGGUGGGGGUUGGAAAGUUUCGGCGGUUGGGGAUGGACUCGCGGCUUAUCAGCUUGUUGGUGGGGUAGUGGCUUACCAAGGCUUUGACGGGUAGCGGGCCUGAGAGGGUGACCGGCCACAUUGGGACUGAGAUACGGCCUAGACUCCUACGGGAGGCAGCAGUGGGGAAUAUUGCACAAUGGGCGGAAGCCUGAUGCAGCAACGCCGCGUGCGGGAUGACGGCCUUCGGGUUGUAAACCGCUUUCGCCUGUGACGAAGCGUGAGUGACGGUAAUGGGUAAAGAAGCACCGGCUAACUACGUG
RNAcentral lists this ribosomal RNA (468 nucleotides) under uncultured bacterium. RNAcentral describes it as "partial 16S ribosomal RNA". It matches the Rfam family "Bacterial small subunit ribosomal RNA", at positions 28 to 507 of the family's 1533-position model. The record is from RNAcentral.